RNAcentral lists this transfer RNA (67 nucleotides) under Sphenomorphus melanopogon. RNAcentral's name for it is "tRNA-His". It matches the Rfam family "tRNA". Rfam says of the family: Transfer RNA (tRNA) molecules are approximately 80 nucleotides in length. Their secondary structure includes four short double-helical elements and three loops (D, anti-codon, and T loops). Lineage: Eukaryota; Metazoa; Chordata; Lepidosauria; Squamata; Scincidae. The record is from RNAcentral.
GUUAAUAUAGUUUAACAAAAACAUUAGGUUGUGGUCCUAAAAAUAGAAGUUUAACUCUUCUUAUUUA